Molecule: long non-coding RNA, 283 nt
Filed under: Homo sapiens (human)
Lineage: Eukaryota; Metazoa; Chordata; Mammalia; Primates; Hominidae
Description: HSALNT0274976
Source: RNAcentral
AAUAAGUUUGUGUGUGUUUUUUAAAACUGACUCAAAUCUUACAAAAAUGUGUUCUUUUAAGCCACUGAAUUUGUGGUAAAUUGUUACAGCAGGAAUAGAAAACUGAUACAACCCUAGAGAAAGUCUUGUACAUGUGCUCUAUAAACACACAGCAGAAUUUUUUUUAACUUUUUAUUGAGUUAAAAAAUAUAUAUAUAAUUUACCAUCUGUACAUUUUUAGAGGACAGUUUAGUGGUGAUAAAUACAUUUAUAUUUUCUUCUCUUAAUCUCCUCUUCCCACUCC